UCAUUGUGGAUGAUUCUUUUUCCAUUCUCAGGUAGUUUUCUUUUCUUUUCUUUUCUUUUUGUUUUUGUUUUUUUUGAGACUGAGUCUUGCUCUGUUGCCCAGGCUUUGCUCGAUCUCGGCUCGCUGCAACCUCCGCCUCCUGGGUUCAAGUGAUUCUCCUGCCUCAGCCUCCUGAGUAGCUGGGACUACAGGCAUGUGUCACCACACCCGGCUAAUUUUUGUAUUUUUGGUAGAGAUGGGGUUUCACCAUGUUUGCCAGGAUGGCCUCUAUCUCCUGACCUUGUGAUCUACCCACCUCGGCCUCCCAAAUGCUGGGAUUACAGGUGUGAGACACUGGGCCCAGCCUCUCAGGCGGUUUUCAUACCUGCAUACUCUGAUCGCUACUCUGUUAAACAGUCAAGGAGGCUGAGUGCCACGGGCUGACAUCACUAAGAUCAAUACGGCAAACUCUGAAAGAUGGACAGAGAGACAGGAGAUGGUCCUUUAUAAUGCAGUAUGAUCUGUGCUGCAAUAGAGAUGGAAGAGUGUUCUGAUUGGCUGGAAAACAAUGCCCAUGGGAAGCUUUAUGCAAAUGAGUGGGGAAAGUUUUGGAGGCUAGAAGUUCAAAACAAGGUGUUGGCAGCACCGUGCUCUCUCUGAAGAUGCUGGGAAGAAUCUGUUACAUGCCUUUCCAUUCGCUUCUGGGGUUUCCCGCAAGCCCUGACGUUCCUUGGCUUGUAGAUGCAUCACCCCAGUUUCUGCCCCCAUCAUCACAUGGCCUCCUCUCUGUGUGUAUGUCUGUGUUCCCUCUCCUCUUCUUCUAAGGACACCAGUCAUAGUAGAUUAAGGGUCCAUUCCUAAGUAAUUACAUCUGCAACAACCCUAUUUCCAAAUAAAGUCACAUUCUAAGAUUCCUAGGGAGAAUAUGAAUUUUUGGGGCUGUGUGGAUACUGUUC
Molecule: long non-coding RNA, 935 nt
Organism: Symphalangus syndactylus (siamang)
Lineage: Eukaryota; Metazoa; Chordata; Mammalia; Primates; Hylobatidae
Source: RefSeq, a predicted model, not a curated record